This 292-nucleotide unclassified non-coding RNA is filed under the name soil metagenome. Its description in RNAcentral is "partial contains small subunit ribosomal RNA, internal transcribed spacer 1, and 5.8S ribosomal RNA". The record is from RNAcentral.
UUUCCGUAGGUGAACCUGCGGAAGGAUCAUUAUCGAAACAGAACGCCCGGGGGGAAGGGGGAGCACGGACUGUCGCGCGUCCUCGCGCACGUCGCUCUUUCGACCCUUCGAGGCUUCGACCUUCUCAACACCCGUGUGCACCCACUGUAGGUCCUUCGGGAUCUACGUCUCCUUUCCAACUCGCAUGUCUACAGAACGUGUUCGUCGUGUCCCGGCCUCGACCCCCAGGGUCCCGCGUCGGCGACCGCAAAAACCUACAAUACAACUUUCAGCAACGGAUCUCUUGGCUCUC